GACGAACGCUGGCGGCGUGCUUAACACAUGCAAGUCGAACGGAAAGGCCCUGCUCUUGCGGGGUGCUCGAUUGGCGAACGGGUGAGUAACACGUGAGUAACCUGCCCUUGACUUUGGGGUAACUUCAGGAAACUGGGGCUCAUACCGGAUAGGAGCUCCUGCUGCAUGGGGGGGGUUGGAAAGUUUCGGCGGUUGGGGAUGGACUCGCGGCUUAUCAGCUUGUUGGUGGGGUAGUGGAUUACCAAGGCUUUGACGGGUAGCCGGCCUGAGCGGGUGACCGGCCACAAUGGGACUGAGAUACGGCCCAGACUCCUACGGGAGGCAGCAGUCGGGAAUAUUGCACAAUGGGCGGAAGCCUGAUGCAGCAACGCCGCGUGCGGGAUGACGGCCUUCGGGUUGUAAACCGCUUUCUCCUGUGCCGAAGCGUGAGUGACGGUAAUGGGUAAAGAAGCACCGGCUAACUACGUG
RNAcentral lists this ribosomal RNA (468 nucleotides) under uncultured bacterium. RNAcentral's name for it is "partial 16S ribosomal RNA". It matches the Rfam family "Bacterial small subunit ribosomal RNA", at positions 28 to 507 of the family's 1533-position model. The record is from RNAcentral.